RNAcentral lists this ribosomal RNA (442 nucleotides) under uncultured bacterium. RNAcentral describes it as "partial 16S ribosomal RNA". It matches the Rfam family "Bacterial small subunit ribosomal RNA", at positions 338 to 795 of the family's 1533-position model. The record is from RNAcentral.
CCUACGGGAGGCCGCAGUGGGGAAUAUUUGGCAAUGGGCGCAAGCCUGCCCCAGCAACGCCGCGUGAAGGAAGAAGGCUUUCGGGUUGUAAACUUCUUUUGACAGGGAAGAGUAGCAUACGGUACCUGUCGAAUAAGCCACGGCUAACUACGUGCCAGCAGCCGCGUUAAUACGUAGGUGGCAAGCGUUUUCCGGAUUUACUGGUUGUAAAGGGCGUGUAGCCGGGUUGACAAGUCAGAUGUGAAAUACUGCGGCUUAACCGCAGAACUGCAUUUGAAACUGUUGAUCUUGAGUACUGUAGAGGCAGACGGAAGUCCUAGUGUAGCGGUGAAAUGCGUAGAUAUUAGGAGGAACAGCAGUGGCGAAGGCGGUCUGCUGGACAGCAACUGACGGUGAGGCGCGAAAGCGUGGGGAGCAAACAGGAUUAGAUACCCCUGUAGUC